AGUAACGCGUGGGUAACCUGCCAUAUACAGGGGGAUAACAGCGAGAAAUUGCUGCUAAAACCGCAUAAGCGCACGGAGUCGCAUGACUCAGUGUGAAAAACUCCGGUGGUAUAUGAUGGACCCGCGUCUGAUUAGCCAGUUGGCAGGGUAACGGCCUACCAAAGCGACGAUCAGUAGCCGGCCUGAGAGGGUGGACGGCCACAUUGGGACUGAGACACGGCCCAAACUCCUACGGGAGGCAGCAG
This 245-nucleotide ribosomal RNA is filed under the name uncultured bacterium. RNAcentral describes it as "partial 16S ribosomal RNA". It matches the Rfam family "Bacterial small subunit ribosomal RNA", at positions 109 to 354 of the family's 1533-position model. The record is from RNAcentral.